RNAcentral lists this RNase P RNA (375 nucleotides) under Salmonella enterica. RNAcentral's name for it is "RNase P RNA component class A". It matches the Rfam family "Bacterial RNase P class A". Rfam says of the family: Ribonuclease P (RNase P) is a ubiquitous endoribonuclease, found in archaea, bacteria and eukarya as well as chloroplasts and mitochondria. Its best characterised activity is the generation of mature 5'-ends of tRNAs by cleaving the 5'-leader elements of precursor-tRNAs. The record is from RNAcentral. Lineage: Bacteria; Pseudomonadati; Pseudomonadota; Gammaproteobacteria; Enterobacterales; Enterobacteriaceae.
GAAGCUGACCAGACAGUCGCCGCUUCGUCGUCGUCCUUUCGGGGAGACGGGCGGAGGGGAGGAAAGUCCGGGCUCCAUAGGGCAGGGUGCCAGGUAACGCCUGGGGGGGAAACCCACGACCAGUGCAACAGAGAGCAAACCGCCGAUGGCCCACGCAAGUGGGAUCAGGUAAGGGUGAAAGGGUGCGGUAAGAGCGCACCGCGCGGCUGGUAACAGUCCGUGGCACGGUAAACUCCAUCCGGAGCAAGGCCAAAUAGGGGUUCAUAAGGUACGGCCCGUACUGAACCCGGGUAGGCUGCUUGAGCCAGUGAGCGAUUGCUGGCCUAGAUGAAUGACUGUCCACGACAGAACCCGGCUUAUCGGUCAGUUUCACUU